Molecule: ribosomal RNA, 1680 nt
Filed under: Escherichia coli
Lineage: Bacteria; Pseudomonadati; Pseudomonadota; Gammaproteobacteria; Enterobacterales; Enterobacteriaceae
Description: partial 23S ribosomal RNA
Rfam family: Bacterial large subunit ribosomal RNA
Source: RNAcentral
GUAUCAGAAGUGCGAAUGCUGACAUAAGUAACGAUAAAGCGGGUGAAAAGCCCGCUCGCCGGAAGACCAAGGGUUCCUGUCCAACGUUAAUCGGGGCAGGGUGAGUCGACCCCUAAGGCGAGGCCGAAAGGCGUAGUCGAUGGGAAACAGGUUAAUAUUCCUGUACUUGGUGUUACUGCGAAGGGGGGACGGAGAAGGCUAUGUUGGCCGGGCGACGGUUGUCCCGGUUUAAGCGUGUAGGCUGGUUUUCCAGGCAAAUCCGGAAAACCAAGGCUGAGGCGUGAUGACGAGGCACUACGGUGCUGAAGCAACAAAUGCCCUGCUUCCAGGAAAAGCCUCUAAGCAUCAGGUAACAUCAAAUCGUACCCCAAACCGACACAGGUGGUCAGGUAGAGAAUACCAAGGCGCUUGAGAGAACUCGGGUGAAGGAACUAGGCAAAAUGGUGCCGUAACUUCGGGAGAAGGCACGCUGAUAUGUAGGUGAAGCGACUUGCUCGUGGAGCUGAAAUCAGUCGAAGAUACCAGCUGGCUGCAACUGUUUAUUAAAAACACAGCACUGUGCAAACACGAAAGUGGACGUAUACGGUGUGACGCCUGCCCGGUGCCGGAAGGUUAAUUGAUGGGGUUAGCGGUAACGCGAAGCUCUUGAUCGAAGCCCCGGUAAACGGCGGCCGUAACUAUAACGGUCCUAAGGUAGCGAAAUUCCUUGUCGGGUAAGUUCCGACCUGCACGAAUGGCGUAAUGAUGGCCAGGCUGUCUCCACCCGAGACUCAGUGAAAUUGAACUCGCUGUGAAGAUGCAGUGUACCCGCGGCAAGACGGAAAGACCCCGUGAACCUUUACUAUAGCUUGACACUGAACAUUGAGCCUUGAUGUGUAGGAUAGGUGGGAGGCUUUGAAGUGUGGACGCCAGUCUGCAUGGAGCCGACCUUGAAAUACCACCCUUUAAUGUUUGAUGUUCUAACGUGGGCCCCUUACCGGGGUUGCGGACAGUGUCUGGUGGGUAGUUUGACUGGGGCGGUCUCCUCCUAAAGAGUAACGGAGGAGCACGAAGGUUGGCUAAUCCUGGUCGGACAUCAGGAGGUUAGUGCAAUGGCAUAAGCCAGCUUGACUGCGAGCGUGACGGCGCGAGCAGGUGCGAAAGCAGGUCAUAGUGAUCCGGUGGUUCUGAAUGGAAGGGCCAUCGCUCAACGGAUAAAAGGUACUCCGGGGAUAACAGGCUGAUACCGCCCAAGAGUUCAUAUCGACGGCGGUGUUUGGCACCUCGAUGUCGGCUCAUCACAUCCUGGGGCUGAAGUAGGUCCCAAGGGUAUGGCUGUUCGCCAUUUAAAGUGGUACGCGAGCUGGGUUUAGAACGUCGUGAGACAGUUCGGUCCCUAUCUGCCGUGGGCGCUGGAGAACUGAGGGGGGCUGCUCCUAGUACGAGAGGACCGGAGUGGACGCAUCACUGGUGUUCGGGUUGUCAUGCCAAUGGCACUGCCCGGUAGCUAAAUGCGGAAGAGAUAAGUGCUGAAAGCAUCUAAGCACGAAACUUGCCCCGAGAUGAGUUCUCCCUGAGACUUAGAGUCUCCUGAAGGAACGUUGAAGACGACGACGUUGAUAGGCCGGGUGUGUAAGCGCAGCGAUGCGUUGAGCUAACCGGUACUAAUGAACCGUGAGGCUUAACCUUACAACGCCGAAG